UGGGGAAUAUUGGACAAUGGGGGCAACCCUGAUCCAGCAAUGCCGCGUGUGUGAAGAAGGUCUUCGGAUUGUAAAGCACUUUCGACGGGGACGAUGAUGACGGUACCCGUAGAAGAAGCCCCGGCUAACUUCGUGCCAGCAGCCGCGGUAAUACGAAGGGGGCUAGCGUUGCUCGGAAUGACUGGGCGUAAAGGGCGUGUAGGCGGUUUACACAGUCAGAUGUGAAAUCCCCGGGCUUAACCUGGGAGCUGCAUUUGAUACGUGUAGACUAGAGUGUGAGAAAGGGUUGUGGAAUUCCCAGUGUAGAGGUGAAAUUCGUAGAUAUUGGGAAGAACACCGGUGGCGAAGGCGGCAACCUGGCUCAUGACUGACGCUGAGGCGCGAAAGCGUGGGGAGCAAACAGGAUUAGAUACCCUGGUAGUCCACGCUGUAAACGAUGUGUGCUAGAUGUUGGGUAACUUUGUU
This 465-nucleotide ribosomal RNA is filed under the name uncultured bacterium. RNAcentral's name for it is "partial 16S ribosomal RNA". It matches the Rfam family "Bacterial small subunit ribosomal RNA", at positions 355 to 837 of the family's 1533-position model. The record is from RNAcentral.